UUACUUUAACCAGAUGAUGGAGACAAAGUGGGUUUUCGAACCAGUUCCAGAUGUUCGACUGAGCCCGCGUGUUCCUUUAAGGACAGAACUCUAAACUGAAAGCAGACACAAAGUCACACAAAAGACGUUUCCGGUUGUUGUGUCCCUUCGCAGUCGAAGCCGAUGUUCGGACAAAUGGCUGGUCUCUCAUUUCCUUCAAACCCAGCACGUAGAUAAAGACGCGUCACGUGUUUUGUCAGCGUUUGAGGAAGCCCAUGGGUCCAAUGCGUUGACAUGUUUGUUGUAGUGGAAGCGGGAGGAGUUUUCCUCACUUCCCUUUUUGAAAGGAACGUCUGCAUAAGUCUCUCCUCUGCCUCAUCCUUGUUUUCCAGCUGUCGGAGAAGCAUGGAGGACAGCAGCAGCCAGGUAGAGAUGAUGCUGUCAUAUGACAUGAAGGACGGCGAUGUGGAGAAUGAAGUGAGACACCAUCAAGAUCACAAGUCCAGUUACAAAGCCUACGUGGCUCAGAGGUUUGGACGCACACCCAGAAAUCUGUGCUUGAUAGCAGCCACCGUCGUCAUUGCCUUUACCACUGGCUUCUUGACUGGCUACCUGGUUCAUAGGAACAAGGGCUCUGCUGCAGCCCCCCUGGUCCAGAUUGAAGAACCUGUUGCCCGUGAGACAGGUGCUGCCCCUCUCAUGGACUGGGAUAAUGUCACAGAUCUCCUUGCUCAAAAACUCACCACAAAGCAGUUUGAAUCUACUUUUAGUGAAUUUGCCAGUGUUGACCAUCGGGCCGGUUCUCCUGGCGAUGAAGCUCUACGAGGCAAAGUGCUGAAGAAGUUUAACGAAUAUGGAAUGAACCCUUGGACUGACGAGUAUUUUGUUAGGGUUCAGGACCCCCCAGCUUCAGGCUCCAACAAAGUGGUUUUCAAUGGGAGGACCUAUCAUCCAAAGGGCUUCCUGUCCUACAGUGUCAAUGGAACAGUCACGGGAGCAGUGGUGUACGCACAAUAUGGGGACGAAGCAGACUUGAACCAGUUGCAGGACAAGAACAACCUAAACAUUGACCUGAGUGGCAGAGUCGUGCUGGUCAAAUCUGGUAAGAUCAGCUUCGCUGAGAAGGUGGCCAAUGCUGCCAGAAGGAAUGCCUCUGCCGUAUUGAUCUUCCCAGGCAGCACUGAUGGCUCUUUUGGGAGAGAAACCCAGCUCUUUGGCCAUGUCCACUUGGGUUCAGGGGAUCCCUACACCCCAGGCUUCCCCUCCUUCAAUCACACCCAGUUUCCUCCCGUCCAGUCUUCAGGCCUGCCUUCAAUUGUGGCCCAAACCAUCUCAAUAAACACAGCCAACGACAUUCUGAGACAGCUGCAGGGUCCCAGUUCUCCAACUCAAUGGAGGGAUGUCUUGCGACUGGGAGGCGAGAAAGACGUCAUUACUGUGGAGGUUAAUAACGUUCUUAGUGAGAAAAGGAUAAAUAAUGUCUUUGGGGUCAUAAAAGGCUUUGUGGACUCAGAUCGGUAUGUGAUCAUCGGGGCUCGGAGGGAUGCGUGGGGACCAGGUUUUGCAGCGUCAACCGUUGGUACCAGCGUCCUUGUUGAGCUGGCGCGUUCCAUCUCACACAUGGUGAAGAACGAUGGAUUCAAGCCGAGAAGGAGCCUUGUGUUUGCGAGCUGGAGCGCUGGAGAAUAUGGGAACGUUGGCGCCACUGAGUGGCUGGAGGGUUAUUUGUCUUCCCUGAGCAUGAAAGCCUUUUCCUACAUUGACCUGGAUGGUGUAGUAACAGGUCAGAGUAAUUUUAAGGUUGCUGCGAGUCCCCUAUUGCACACUCUGAUUGGAAGCACAAUCAAAGGGGUGAGCGCUUUAAACAAGGAUGCAAACCUCCUUUCUCAAGUAGCAGGCAACUGGGAAUCAAGUGUGUUAGAGCCUCUAAAGUUGGACAGCGCUGCAUAUCCUUUCCUUGCUUUUUCUGGGAUUCCCUCAGUCUCCUUUAGACUGACGUCGGAUGAACUGGGCUACCAGUACUUUGGUACAUUGCUGGACACACGGGAAAAGCUGAACACGGUGACGCAGAACAGUGUCGCUCAGCUGACUCGAGUAGCAGCCCAGUUCGCAGGUCACAUAGCCCUGAGGCUGGUCCACGAUCAUCUGUUGAGGAUGGACCUGGGAAGAUAUGAGAAAAUUAUACGUAAUCAUGUGGCACACAUCAACGUGAAAGUCAAUAGCAUUAAGAUGAUGCAGCCUCAGCUGUUGCCCAAGACGCUGACAGUGCAGUGGUUGAUCUCAGCCUAUAGCGCCUUCAACCGCGCAUCUCGUAGUUUGACAGCAGAUAUCCAAAACAGCGAUCUGGAGGACAUCAAGAUGUGCCGCAGUAUCAAUGACCGCAUUAUAAUGGUGGAAAGGAACUUCCUGUCGCCCUUUGUGUCUCCCAGGGAGAGUCCCUUCCGUCACGUCCUCCUGGGCUCCGGCCCGCACACACUCGAGGGUCUGUACAACCACCUCAAUGCCAUGAGAAACAACGACCCCAACGUAGAUGUGGAUGCGUUCAGAGACCAGUUUGCUCUGGCCACCUGGACCAUUCAGGGCUGUGCUAAUUCGCUAGCAGAAAUUGGCGUCUACGAACAGGAUCCGCUGCAGGUCGUCUGGACGGUGUGACCAGGGACGAUAGUCCUGAGGACUAGGGUCGCUCAGCCUCCAAACCUCUACAGCUGUUCUGAGUGGGAGGACUGCUCACCCGUCUGGAUCGCCUCUGACGAGAUCCAACGAACACAAAACCUCUACCCGGCCCGUUCCACACCUCCCUCUGUGAAAACAUGAUGGAGACGGAUGCAGGAUGUGGGUCCUUUCGUGAACAGAUGUCAACGGGGUGGAGACUGGUAAAUGACUUCUGACCCCAUGUGACGUAUUCACCUACUUUGCAUACUUUAUAAUUUUUUUUAUUCUGCCCGUCAUGUGCAACAAACUGAACUUGGCACCUCCACAUUCUAAUGACACACACUACAUGCUUUUGUUUUUAUUUUCAUUUUUCAGAGGACGCUCUGACCCAACACUCAGCCUUACAGGAAGCUCCUGCUUCCCUGUGGCUCACACACAGACAUGAUGUAGGUUUGAUCAGAGGAUGUGAACCAGUGGUCAUCACACCUAAAUCUGACCACAGACCAUGUAAACAACAACACCCUCUUAAAAGAAGCCAUAGAUGGUGUUACUGCAGACACCACUAAGCUACUGAAACAUUGGAUGCUACAGGCCACAAAGAGAGCCUGUCUAAAUUACAGUUAGUUCAGACAAAGGUUAUUUUCUGGGUCAUUGUAAUUACAGCUGAUGGCAAAUCCAUCUCACCCAACAGAGUUAAAGCAAUGUGAAACCUGCCUAAACCGUGCACGUAUAAACAGCUUAUCUUUUCUAGGUCUUUGUUCUUAUUGUAGGAACUUCAUUCCUAACUUUACUGUCUUUGAGGUCCCACUCAGGGUUCUGAUGCAGGCGUCUUCAUCGUCCACUUCUUGUCUCACGUGGACGUCUGAGGCUGAACAACGUUCACUGACCUCAUGCUUGCUCUUCAGGCUCCUACUUUGGGUCUUCCUGAUCUGACCCUACGCGACCUUUCACUCAAACAGUGGAUGAGAGAUCAGGUUGUACGACUUCUGUUCUUUUGUCCUCAUACUGUUUUUGAUUCUUUUGGAAUAGAUCACAUCUUUCUACAGCUCGAUGGCUUGGAUACAACACCACCUUGCUCAACAUGCUGAACAUUAUUAUCAAGAGGUCGUCUUGAAGUCUGGCGCUUUGCUAAGACACUACUCUGCUCAGGCUGCAGAGUUGAUCGCGUUGACUGAAGCUAGUAAACUAGCAGAAGGAGAGUCUGUUACCAUCUACAGACUCCACAGACGCUCUGUGGAAGCAUAGGAAGCUUUUUAAGUCUGAUUGCAAACCUAUCUUACAUCAUGAUAAGGUUCUGCUUUGCUGGACGCUGUCCUGCCACCUACAGCUAAUGCUGUUUGUAAUUGUCCCACUCACAACAUCAGUGAAUACUUUGUUUCUGCCGACAUGCAGCUGCAGACGCUGCUGCGAAGGUCGCUGCCCAACAACCCCUCCCUCUCCUGAUCCUCGUUUCCUCUCUCCAACUCUCUCUAUCCUUUCCUUCCUCUCUCCCUGUGCUUUAAACAUUUUGUACCUCACAGGAACGCAGACUCUGGCUGACGAAUGGUUCCACCUGUAGCCAUGGAGUCUGGUUUGGGCCUGAUGGCAGCCGUGCCGCCCAAACACUUUUUCCCCACAAUUCAGAUUUCCCAACAGGUGAAAACAGGCGACAGGGCCAUUACACCAUCCAACCAGGGGACUGGGCGAUCGUUAAGGAGUUCAGGAGGAAGCAUUGGGACUCCAAACGGUGGCGAGGCCACUUCCAGGUCCUUCUGACGACCCACACGGCUGAAAGAUCGCAGAGAGAGCGACUUGGAUCCACUCCACUGCAAGAAGGUCCCGGAUCCAACAGACGACCCUCCAUCUACAUCUACACCACACGAGAAAGCCACCACUAACGAGAAGAACUGAGAAGGACGACCCUCGCUGUGCUCACACACGCACUGAGGCGAGGCUGCGUUGACCGUUCAGCUAAAGGUGUGAGCCAAGCGCCGCCUGAAGCUGCGCCGGUGAAUCACACUAUCAGACCAUACAUCUACACACACGUUUCUGAGAAAACACACACACGAGCAGCCUUGAGUUGCCGACGCUGGACGACGUGUAGACUCUUCAAAUCACGGGAGUGACAGUGACUCAGACGACAUUGGGAGGAAACCUGGCGGUGAUAACAAAUCCCAGGUGUCUCUGUGAUCAGCUGAUCACAACCUGAAGAACUCCAACGAACUGUCAAUGCGUCAACACAAGGGUUGGAAACAAUCUAACGCUACUGUUCAACAGGACGAAGCAGAUUGUUACAUGCUUUGUUAGACUUCAUUUUAUGUUACUUGGAUUGUUGCCUUUAUCACAUGAUGUUUCUAUAUAACUUUACACACUACUUUUGAAGAAGAAAAUGUCACAACGACACUGAGUUUAAAUAUCCUAAAGUUGACUUUGUGUUUAAUUUGCUCACAAUCACUUUAUUCACUGCUACAAAAAUUUUUUUUAAUCUUUCAUCUACAGAUGAAAGACAACACAAGCGGAAAUAUGCACCAUCAUUCUGGUUAAAUCCCUGAUUCUCUUAUUCAUUCUAGACCCAAAUGUACAAUUAAAGAUCCGAAAGUUAUCCCACUGGUUAGAGGUCUCAUCAUGCGUGCAACCUCAGCAACACUCUUGUAUAAAAUGACACAAUGCACUAUGUUCAAAAACCCCAACUCUAAUUCACUUAAUGACUUUGACGAUGGUCUUAGGUUAUCUGACCACAAAAAAUAUAAUAUGAUACAAAUAUGAUUAUGGUCUUAUUUUCUUCACAUGCUCAUACAGAGGUUAUUCUUGUAUAACUACCCACCAAAACAGCUCACAACGUUUUGUCCCUAAGUUACUUGCAUUUUAUGUGAAGGUGUAUUUUUGAAUUUUGACUUACACUUAUACACGUACUGUUUUAUUUGUAAGGGUUGUUACAACAAAAUGCAAUGUUUGAAAAAUUUUAUUAUUUUAGUGUUUGAUUAAUGUGUAAUCAAAAGGGGGGAAUGUAAUGGAAAAAUUUUGCCUUGUGCUAUUUCUUAUCCAACACAGUCGUCAUGUGCUGGUUAGGUGCAAUACUGAACAUUCUUACACAAACAACUAAUCUCUUGUGCCCUGAUGUACAUCAAGUCUAAACAUCUGAUGUUCCAUUUGACUGACUAAUAAUUUAUGAUAUAUGUUUGUCUUUUACACCCGGACUCUGGCUCCAUUCUAUCUGACUCCCCACCAGACCCAAGGCUGUUAAAGCCAAUGCAUCUUGUCUUGGAAGCUCGGUGUUCCUUCCUUUGGAUAACAAGACAGGGUGAUGCAGAAGUGAGAAAGCAAACAUUCUCACUCACAGCGAGAUAAGGUGGCACAAACAAUUCCAUUGCUGCAGAGAGACAUUCCACCAGAGCCAGAGAAAAGGGGUUAAAAGGCAGAGACAACGUGAGGAUCGUGGGCUCUUUGCAUCACACCUUCGUGGUGUGUGCACUGAUCUCCCCAGCUGGUUUUUGGUUUGUUGAUGUGCACAAUCAACAUCCAUGCUUCUUAUUUGCUUUCCCCAUUAUUUUUAUUUUCUUUAUUAUUUCAAUAAAUUGCACAAAAGGACAA
RNA transcript from Betta splendens (Siamese fighting fish), 6201 nucleotides. It is a transcript of the gene named transferrin receptor protein 1-like, with no coding region annotated. Lineage: Eukaryota; Metazoa; Chordata; Actinopteri; Anabantiformes; Osphronemidae. The record is from RefSeq and is a predicted model, not a curated record. The transcript has 19 exons.